CCUACGGGAGGCAGCAGUGGGGAAUAUUGCGCAAUGGGCGAAAGCCUGACGCAGCGACGCCGCGUGGGUGAUGAAGGCCUUCGGGUUGUAAAGCCCUGUCGGGUGGAACGAACGAUCUGGCGGCGAAUAACCGCCGGGUGUGACGGUACCCCCGAAGGAAGCCCCGGCUAACUACGUGCCAGCAGCCGCGGUAAGACGUAGGGGGCGAGUGUUGUUCGGAUUUACUGGGCCGACUGCGUAAGUAGGCUGUGAAAUCCCUCGGCUUAACCGAGGUACCGCAUCCGAUACUGUCUGGCUCGAGUCUAGGAGAGGAAAGCGGAAUUCCCAGUGUAGCGGUGAAAUGCGUAGAUAUAGGGAGGAACACCGGUGGCGAAGGCGGCUUUCCGGACUAGUACUGACGCUGAGGCGCGAAAGCUAGGGGAGCGAACGGGAUUAGAUACCCCGGUAGUC
Molecule: ribosomal RNA, 450 nt
Filed under: uncultured bacterium
Lineage: Bacteria
Description: partial 16S ribosomal RNA
Rfam family: Bacterial small subunit ribosomal RNA
Source: RNAcentral